GUGAAGUUGACGAAAGAGUUAACAAUGGCAUUUUCACUGUGGAUGUGUUGUUGAGUAAAGAACGGAGGUGAGGGUGUGGACAUCAUUUUUUAAGUUGGAGGAAGAAGAUGAUUGCGGCCGGUGGUGGGAGAUCCCUUUUUUAAGAAGAUGAACAGUGGUUCAUCUUUUCCUUUUUUCCUUUUCUUUUUUCGUUUUUUUAUUUUCUUAUUUCUGAGAGAGAGAGAGAGUCUUUUUGAGAGAGCUACGUUGGCCCGUCCGUUUUGAGAGGUCAAAGGAAAAGAUUCUUUUCUUUUUUCGUGUGAGAGAGAGGGUCCUCAAAAUUAGCUGGAGAAGCCAACCCCCUUUUUUUAUCCUAUUUUCUUUUCCAAAAAGAAAUCCAGUCAUUGUUGGAUUGGGAGUACAAAAUCCAUUAGCUACUGCCUUCUCCUUA
Molecule: long non-coding RNA, 430 nt
Filed under: Lathyrus oleraceus (garden pea)
Lineage: Eukaryota; Viridiplantae; Streptophyta; Magnoliopsida; Fabales; Fabaceae
Description: Pisum sativum (pea) long non-coding RNA (PSAT_LNC000357)
Source: RNAcentral